GGCUCCGGGAGGUCCCUGGAAGGGGCGGAGCGUCGCCGACACCCAGCACCGCUCGCGGGAGGGGCGCGGGCGGCGCUCAGGCUCAAGUUACCUCCCUGCGGCCUCCCCCGCCCCGCCAUCUUCUUUUUCCGUUUCCAAAUUAACAAUUGAAAACGCUGCGGCCUGAAAGGCGAGCAGCGGGCCAAGCGGAAAGUGUGAAGGUGCCGCUGCGUCCCCUUGGACGGGGGCCGAAAAGGGGGCGCGACACCCUGUCCACGGCUAGCCCACCCACCAACGCCGCUUGCUGGGCACGGAGAGCCCCGGAACGCAGAGGUGCCAAGGCCCCUAAAUCGGGUCCUGGACUGAUCCGGCCCCUGCCAGAGGAGCUGUCCACCAAUGGGGAACACUGGAGCUGACAGGUCUUUCCCUCCUCUCACUUCCUUGGGGCUUCCCAAAGCCCCACAUGAUAAAGAACUGAGGCCAGGAAGUUUCUUAUGAGGGGCUCAAAGUCACAGGAUGGUCCCCCUUCUUCCCCAAGAAUCCCUGAUCUGCUUUGAGGAGUGCUAGCCCAGCCCCUGGUUGGGAUUCCUGGCCCCCUCUGGGGACCACUUCGUGCAGAGACAGUUUCUUCCUCUGUCCACUCCCACCCCACCGCCACCAGCUCAUUAGGAUCCAUCCAUCAAGGGUAAAGCCUAUUCUGACUCCUCCACAUCUCCCAGGCUGGCCAAGUAGAAGCUCAGACAGUAUCUGGGAGGAAACAAGAAGACCCAGGUCUCCAGGGCCUUGAGCAUCCGUGAGUCAGGAAUUUCCCACAGUCCUCUGCAGCCUGAGAUUUCUGGGUAAGGGCACCUUGGGGUUCCUACAGAGGUGGGUGGAUGGAGGGAGAGCCAAUGCAAGUCCAUCUUGAAUACUGGUGAGACUGGGAAAGAGUACAAAUGGAGACCCACACACUA
Cervus elaphus (red deer) is the source of this 932-nucleotide long non-coding RNA. RefSeq lists it as uncharacterized. The transcript is spliced from 3 exons. Lineage: Eukaryota; Metazoa; Chordata; Mammalia; Artiodactyla; Cervidae. The record is from RefSeq and is a predicted model, not a curated record.